UGGAUUGUAGUUCAGUGAUAGAGCACUUGCUUUGCAUGCAUGAGGCACUGGGUUCGAUCCUCAGCACCACAU
This 72-nucleotide transfer RNA is filed under the name Urocitellus parryii (Arctic ground squirrel). RNAcentral's name for it is "Spermophilus parryii (Arctic ground squirrel) tRNA". It matches the Rfam family "tRNA". From Rfam's summary of the family: Transfer RNA (tRNA) molecules are approximately 80 nucleotides in length. Their secondary structure includes four short double-helical elements and three loops (D, anti-codon, and T loops). Further hydrogen bonds mediate the characteristic L-shaped molecular structure. tRNAs have two regions of fundamental functional importance: the anti-codon, which is responsible for specific mRNA codon recognition, and the 3' end, to which the tRNAs corresponding amino acid is attached (by aminoacyl-tRNA synthetases). tRNAs cope with the degeneracy of the genetic code in two manners: having more than one tRNA (with a specific anti-codon) for a particular amino acid; and 'wobble' base-pairing, i.e. permitting non-standard base-pairing at the 3rd anti-codon position. RNAcentral also lists the same sequence under 2 other names. Lineage: Eukaryota; Metazoa; Chordata; Mammalia; Rodentia; Sciuridae. The record is from Rfam by way of RNAcentral.